CCUACGGGUGGCAGCAGUGGGGAAUAUUGCACAAUGGGGGCAACCCUGAUGCAGCGACGCCGCGUGAGUGAAGAAGUAUUUCGGUACGUAAAGCUCUAUCAGCAGGGAAGUAAAUGACGGUACCUGUCUUAGAAGCCCCGGCUAACUACGUGCCAGCAGCCGCGGUAAUACGUAGGGGGCAAGCGUUAUCCGGAUUUACUGGGUUUAAAGGGAGCGUAGACGGCAGCGCAAGUCUGUAGUGAAAUCACAUGGCUUAACCAUGGAACUGCUUUGGAAACUGUGCAGCUAGAGUGCAGGUGAGGUAGGCGGAAUGCCUAGUGUAGCGGUGAAAUGCGUAGAUAUUAGGAAGAACACCGAUGGCGAAGGCAGCUUACUGAACUGUAACUGACGUUGAGGCUCGAAAGCGUGGGGAGCAAACAGGAUUAGAUACCCUUGUAGUC
Molecule: ribosomal RNA, 440 nt
Filed under: uncultured bacterium
Lineage: Bacteria
Description: partial 16S ribosomal RNA
Rfam family: Bacterial small subunit ribosomal RNA
Source: RNAcentral